This 651-nucleotide long non-coding RNA is filed under the name Malus domestica (apple). Its description in RNAcentral is "long non-coding RNA (MDOM_LNC019257)". The record is from RNAcentral. Lineage: Eukaryota; Viridiplantae; Streptophyta; Magnoliopsida; Rosales; Rosaceae.
CUAGCAUCUAACUCUUCCAUGGCCACUCAUCUUCUUCCUCAACCAUCCUUGGUGUCAGAACUUAGAGGUCUCCAACUUUGGGGACAUUUGGAGAAACCAAUUCUUCCAUCCAUAUCCAAGAAGGCAUGGUGCCAAGAAGCAAAGUUCCUCCAUCCACAUCCAUGGAGCCAAGGAGUAAGGUGACAAAGGAAAGAAGGCCCUCACAUGGGUGAUUAACCUUUGCUAAGCAAAAAGGUGCUUCAAAGGUAUAAAGUUUCUCAACUCACUUGGUUUUGAGUUGAGUCUUGGUUCACCCUUCUACCAGGCUUUGAAUUUCAUGGGUAAUGUUUUGUUUUGGGUGCAUACAAGCAUGAUUCCGCCUUUAAAUGUUAAUUGCAUGCCAUAGAUGUUGCUCAAAUGAACAUGUUUUUCACAAAAUUUCCUUCAAGUGGUAUGAAGAGCCUAGGUCUAGUAGUUGGUGAAUCCUUUUGGGUUUUGUAUUUUCAUAGUUUAUGAUUUGAAUGUUGUAAUUGUUACAAGCUUUAUUCUUGCUUCUUUGAAUGUAAAUUUUGUUAGAAAAUUUGCCAUCUCAAAUGUUAUAGAUGUAGUUCAUAUGAGCAUGAAUUUUGGAGCUAAAAUUUGGUGCCAUGUUUUUGGGGAAAUUCGGCCAAA